GCUCUCGUGGCCAGUUGGUUAGUGCGUCGUACUUAUAAUGCGAAGGUCGAGGGUUCGAUCCCCUCCGGGAGCA
RNAcentral lists this transfer RNA (73 nucleotides) under Dendronephthya gigantea. RNAcentral's name for it is "tRNA-Ile". It matches the Rfam family "tRNA". Rfam says of the family: Transfer RNA (tRNA) molecules are approximately 80 nucleotides in length. The record is from RNAcentral. Lineage: Eukaryota; Metazoa; Cnidaria; Anthozoa; Malacalcyonacea; Nephtheidae.